RNAcentral lists this small nuclear RNA (119 nucleotides) under Helicoverpa zea (corn earworm). Its description in RNAcentral is "U5 spliceosomal RNA". It matches the Rfam family "U5 spliceosomal RNA". Rfam says of the family: U5 RNA is a component of both types of known spliceosome. Lineage: Eukaryota; Metazoa; Arthropoda; Insecta; Lepidoptera; Noctuidae. The record is from RNAcentral.
UAACUCUGGUUUCCCUUCAAAACGCAUAAAUCUUUCGCCUUUUACUAAAGAUUUCCGUGGAGGGGAACACUCAAAUGAGUCUAUAAUAUUUUUUGAAUGCCCAGUAUUUAUACAAGGCU